Molecule: ribosomal RNA, 450 nt
Filed under: uncultured bacterium
Lineage: Bacteria
Description: partial 16S ribosomal RNA
Rfam family: Bacterial small subunit ribosomal RNA
Source: RNAcentral
GUGGGGAAUAUUCCGCAAUGGACGAAAGUCUGACGGAGCAACGCCGCGUGAGUGAUGAAGGUUUUCGGACUGUAAAGCUCUGUUGUUUAGGACGAAAGUGCCUGUUGCAAAUAGUUACAGGUAUUGACGGUACUGAACGAGGAAGCCACGGCUAACUACGUGCCAGCAGCCGCGGUAAUACGUAGGUGGCAAGCGUUGUCCGGAAUUAUUGGGCGUAAAGAGCAUGUAGGCGGGAAUCUAAGUCUGUUGUGAAAAUGCGGGGCUCAACCCCGUAUUGCGAUGGAAACUGGGUGUCUUGAGUGCAGGAGAGGAAAGGGGAAUUCCCAGUGUAGCGGUGAAAUGCGUAGAUAUUGGGAGGAACACCAGUGGCGAAGGCGAGUCUCUGGACAAGACCUGACGCUGAGGCACGAAGGCCAGGGGAUCAAACGGGAUUAGAAACCCGUGUAGUCC